UGGGGAAUCUUGGACAAUGGGGGCAACCCUGAUCCAGCGAUGCCGCGUGAGUGAAGAAGGCCUUCGGGUCGUAAAGCUCUUUAGGUUGGGACGAAGUUUAGUGGGGGAUAAUCCCAUUAGAUUGACGGUACCGACAGAAUAAGCACCGGCAAACUCUGUGCCAGCAGCCGCGGUAAUACAGAGGGUGCGAGCGUUAAUCGGAAUUACUGGGCGUAAAGGGUGCGUAGGCGGUUGUGUGUGAGUUAUGUGAAAGCCCCGGGCUUAACCUGGGAAGUGCAUAGCUGACUACAUAACUGGAGUACAAGAGAGGGUAGCGGAAUUUCCGGUGUAGCGGUGAAAUGCGUAGAUAUCGGAAGGAACGUCAAUGGCGAAGGCAGCUACCUGGCUUGAUACUGACGCUGAGGCACGAAAGCGUGGGGAGCGAACAGG
Molecule: ribosomal RNA, 429 nt
Filed under: uncultured bacterium
Lineage: Bacteria
Description: bacterial SSU rRNA
Rfam family: Bacterial small subunit ribosomal RNA
Source: RNAcentral